CUGCGGCAGCGAACGUAUCACCCAAGACAACUUUACGGAGUUGACGAUUGACGGAGCGAAGCGACGUCAAAGCGUUCAUUAAAGUCGAGUUGGCUUAGGGAUACGUUCGUUGGGUAGGGGAGCGUUCUGUAAGCCUGUGAAGGUGGCCUGUGAGGGGUGCUGGAGGUAUCAGAAGUGCGAAUGCUGACAUAAGUAACGAUAAAGCGGGUGAAAAGCCCGCUCGCCGGAAGACCAAGGGUUCCUGUCCAACGUUAAUCGGGGCAGGGUGAGUCGACCCCUAAGGCGAGGCCGAAAGGCGUAGUCGAUGGGAAACGGGUUAAUAUUCCCGUACUUGGUGUUACUGCGAAGGGGGGACGGAGAAGGCUAUGUUGGCCGGGCGACGGUUGUCCCGGUUUAAGCGUGUAGGUGUGUGUUCCAGGUAAAUCCGGUUCACUUUAACACUGAGGCGUGACGACGAGGCACUACGGUGCUGAAGCAACAAAUGCCCUGCUUCCAGGAAAAGCCUCUAAGCAUCAGGUAACAUCAAAUCGUACCCUAAACCGACACAGGUGGUCAGGUAGAGAAUACCAAGGCGCUUGAGAGAACUCGGGUGAAGGAACUAGGCAAAAUGGUGCCGUAACUUCGGGAGAAGGCACGCUGACACGUAGGUGAAGUGAUUUACUCAUGGAGCUGAAGUCAGUCGAAGAUACCAGCUGGCUGCAACUGUUUAUUAAAAACACAGCACUGUGCAAACACGAAAGUGGACGUAUACGGUGUGACGCCUGCCCGGUGCCGGAAGGUUAAUUGAUGGGGUCAGCGCAAGCGAAGCUCCUGAUCGAAGCCCCGGUAAACGGCGGCCGUAACUAUAACGGUCCUAAGGUAGCGAAAUUCCUUGUCGGGUAAGUUCCGACCUGCACGAAUGGCGUAAUGAUGGCCAGGCUGUCUCCACCCGAGACUCAGUGAAAUUGAACUCGCUGUGAAGAUGCAGUGUACCCGCGGCAAGACGGAAAGACCCCGUGAACCUUUACUAUAGCUUGACACUGAACAUUGAGCCUUGAUGUGUAGGAUAGGUGGGAGGCUUUGAAGUGUGGACGCCAGUCUGCAUGGAGCCGACCUUGAAAUACCACCCUUUAAUGUUUGAUGUUCUAACGUGGACCCGUGAUCCGGGUUGCGGACAGUGUCUGGUGGGUAGUUUGACUGGGGCGGUCUCCUCCUAAAGAGUAACGGAGGAGCACGAAGGUUGGCUAAUCCUGGUCGGACAUCAGGAGGUUAGUGCAAUGGCAUAAGCCAGCUUGACUGCGAGCGUGACGGCGCGAGCAGGUGCGAAAGCAGGUCAUAGUGAUCCGGUGGUUCUGAAUGGAAGGGCCAUCGCUCAACGGAUAAAAGGUACUCCGGGGAUAACAGGCUGAUACCGCCCAAGAGUUCAUAUCGACGGCGGUGUUUGGCACCUCGAUGUCGGCUCAUCACAUCCUGGGGCUGAAGUAGGUCCCAAGGGUAUGGCUGUUCGCCAUUUAAAGUGGUACGCGAGCUGGGUUUAGAACGUCGUGAGACAGUUCGGUCCCUAUCUGCCGUGGGCGCUGGAGAACUGAGGGGGGCUGCUCCUAGUACGAGAGGACCGGAGUGGACGCAUCACUGGUGUUCGGGUUGUCAUGCCAAUGGCACUGCCCGGUAGCUAAAUGCGGAAGAGAUAAGUGCUGAAAGCAUCUAAGCACGAAACUUGCCCCGAGAUGAGUUCUCCCUGAGACUUUAAGUCUCCUGAAGGAACGUUGAAGACGACGACGUUGAUAGGCCGGGUGUGUAAGCGCAGCGAUGCGUUGAGCUAACCGGUACUAAUGAACCGUGAGGCUUAACCUUACA
RNAcentral lists this ribosomal RNA (1836 nucleotides) under Salmonella enterica. RNAcentral describes it as "partial 23S ribosomal RNA". It matches the Rfam family "Bacterial large subunit ribosomal RNA", at positions 1200 to 2925 of the family's 2925-position model. Lineage: Bacteria; Pseudomonadati; Pseudomonadota; Gammaproteobacteria; Enterobacterales; Enterobacteriaceae. The record is from RNAcentral.